Molecule: ribosomal RNA, 480 nt
Filed under: uncultured bacterium
Lineage: Bacteria
Description: partial 16S ribosomal RNA
Rfam family: Bacterial small subunit ribosomal RNA
Source: RNAcentral
GACGAACGCUGGCGGCGUGCUUAACACAUGCAAGUCGAACGAUGAAGAAAAGACUCGAAGCUUCGGCAGAAAUUCAUUUCGGAUUAGUGGCAGACGGGUGAGUAACGCGUGAGCAACCUACCUCUUACAAAGGGAUAGCCUCGGGAAACCGGGAUUAAUACCAUAUCACAUUGCGACGAAGCAUUUCGAUGCAAUCAAAGCUACGGCGGUAAGAGAUGGGCUCGCGUCCCAUUAACCGGAUGGUGAGGUAACGGCUCACCAUAGUGACGAUGGGUAACCGGCCUGAGAGGGUGAACGGUCACACUGGAACUGAGACACGGUCCAGACUCCUACGGGAGGCAGCAGUGGGGAAUAUUGCACAAUGGAGGGAACUCUGAUGCAGCGACGCCGCGUGAGUGAUGAAGGAAUUCGUUUCGUAAAACUCUGUUCUGUGGGAAGAAAAGGACUGUACCAUAGGAGAAAGCGCCGGCUAAAUACGUG